RNAcentral lists this transfer RNA (75 nucleotides) under bacterium. Its description in RNAcentral is "tRNA-Thr". It matches the Rfam family "tRNA". From Rfam's summary of the family: Transfer RNA (tRNA) molecules are approximately 80 nucleotides in length. Their secondary structure includes four short double-helical elements and three loops (D, anti-codon, and T loops). The record is from RNAcentral.
GCCGGUGUAGCUCAAUGGUAGAGCAGGUGAUUUGUAAUCACCGGGUUGCCCGUUCGAGUCGGGCCAUCGGCUCCA